RNAcentral lists this ribosomal RNA (460 nucleotides) under uncultured bacterium. Its description in RNAcentral is "partial 16S ribosomal RNA". It matches the Rfam family "Bacterial small subunit ribosomal RNA", at positions 338 to 795 of the family's 1533-position model. The record is from RNAcentral.
CCUACGGGUGACUGCAGUGAGGAAUAUUUGUCAAUGGACGCAAGUCUGAACCAGCCAUUCCGCGUGCAGGAUGACGGCUCUAUGAGUUGUAAACUGCUUUUGUACUAGGGUAAACCCCGAUACGUGUAUCGGGUUUAAAGUAUCUUACGAAUACGGAUCGGCUAACUCCGUGCCAGCAGCCGCGGUACUACGGAGGAUCCGCGCGUUCUCCGGAUGUAUUGGGUUUAAAGGGUGCGUAGGCGGUUUGAUAAGUUAGAGGUGAAAUGUCGGGGCUCAACCCCGAAACUGCCUCUAAUACUGUUGGACUAGAGAAUAGUUGCGGUAGGCGGAAUGUAUGGUGUAGCGGUGAAAUGCUUAGAGAUCAUACAGAACACCGAUUGCGAAGGCAGCUUACCAAACUAUAUCUGACGUUGAGGCACGAAAGCGUGGGUAGCAAACAGGAUUAGAUACCCCGGUAGUC